CCCACAUUCAGCCUCAGUGGGGUUAUUUAUCUGCAGUUGUGGGCACAUGGCCAGUCCUGGGAACAUACUGGUCCCUUGCUCAGAACACUGCCGUGGCUCCCCGGUGCCCACCAGGUCCAGCUCACACCCCUGAUCCCAGGUCUUCCCUGCUCCAGGAAACCCCAAUUCAAGGGGAGGUGAGUAUGGCCUCUGCCUAGAUUGAAUGCCAACUCUGUGUGACCUUAGGCGAGUCACUUAACCUCCCUGUGCCCCAAUUUCCUCCCUCACAGAGCUGGUGUGAGAAUUAUGUAGAUUCAUAUAAGUAAAGCAAUUAGUGCAGCACCUGCCGUGCAGGAAAGUUGUCCAUAAAUGUUAACUGUCACCGUUAUUGUUUCCUUGCAGGAGGGACCUGAGGUAUGGCCUCUGUUGGGGCUUGCAGCCAAGCUCUGGCCUUCCAGACUGAGCCAGAGGCGUCCGGGCCACCUGGGAACUUGUUGGAGGCUCAGAGCGUCAGGCCCCGCCUGGGGAUCCUAAAGCAGCAGGGAGAAGCCUUUCUGAACAGUCUUGGCAGAAGCAGAGCCGUGUCACCCUCCGUCUCCUGGCCUGGCUUUAUUUUUCUUCACGGCACUCCCUGUCACUUGCAGUUUUACGUAUCAGAUUAUUUGUUUAUUAUCUCCCUCUUCCUAGAAUGUGAGCUCUGUGACUCGGGGAGGGCCUGUCUUGUUCCUUUGCUACAAGCUCAACAAUUUUUUGUGCUAUGAGUGAAUGAAUGAAAGGAGUCAGGUGGUAAAGGGAGAUGUUUACCCUCACAGGGGAAAGUUGGGUACGAAGACAAACUCGUUAUGGGCAAGCUAAAUAGAUCAUUCUAGGUGGAGCUGGGGAAUGACAAGUAAUUAGCAAAGGGAAGGGACCGUGCACAGCCACGCGGUCUAGCACAUAGACUGUAAAGUGAACGGUGGCCCCGCCAGUUGUACAGUUCUCAACCUGUACAACCAUUCAUGGUGCCCCUGGGGAGGGGGAGAAUCCAACAAUUUAGACCCUCUCAGCAGGGCUGGGUGGAGGCAGCUGUACAGGUGCCUGCCGCUGGG
Molecule: long non-coding RNA, 1067 nt
Filed under: Bos indicus x Bos taurus (hybrid cattle)
Lineage: Eukaryota; Metazoa; Chordata; Mammalia; Artiodactyla; Bovidae
Description: lncRNA (ENSBIXG00005023117.1)
Source: RNAcentral